Molecule: ribosomal RNA, 355 nt
Filed under: Brachionus caudatus
Lineage: Eukaryota; Metazoa; Rotifera; Eurotatoria; Ploima; Brachionidae
Description: partial 12S ribosomal RNA
Source: RNAcentral
AUUGCCUGCUGAAUUAUUAUGAUAAUUAUUUUACAAAUUCAAUAUAUUUGGCGGUAAGAAAAGAACUCAGAGAAACCUGCGAGUUAAUUGGAUGAUCCACCAUUUUUACUUCUUAUUAUGUUUGUUACCUGUAUGUCUGUUUAGAGUAUUGUUAAAUCUUUAGUCUUCUCUAUUUAAAAGAAUGUUAAUUCAGGUCAAUAUAGGGAUUGUUAAUAAGUCUUCUUGGGUUGCAUUUAGGAUAAAUAGUAGUCUUUCCAAAAUUAGGCUUAAUUCGGAUUUGAAAGUAAAUAUUCUAUAAAUAUAUUAAAUUUUAUUUUUCUUAAGUACAAAUCCCGUCCCUUCUAUUACAAGGAGU